RNAcentral lists this ribosomal RNA (513 nucleotides) under uncultured bacterium. RNAcentral describes it as "bacterial SSU rRNA". It matches the Rfam family "Bacterial small subunit ribosomal RNA", at positions 36 to 507 of the family's 1533-position model. The record is from RNAcentral.
CUGGCGGCGUGCCUAAUACAUGCAAGUCGAACGCACUCUCGUUUAGAUUGAAGGAGCUUGCUCCUGAUUGAUAAACAUUUGAGUGAGUGGCGGACGGGUGAGUAACACGUGGGUAACCUGCCCUAAAGUGGGGGAUAACAUUUGGAAACAGAUGCUAAUACCGCAUAAAACCUAACACCGCAUGGUGUAGGGUUGAAAGAUGGUUUCGGCUAUCACUUUAGGAUGGACCCCGCGGUGCAUUAGUUAGUUGGUGAGGUAAAGGCUCACCAAGACCGUGAUGCAUAGCCGACCUGAGAGGGUAAUCGGCCACACUGGGACUGAGACACGGCCCAGACUCCUACGGGAGGCAGCAGUAGGGAAUCUUCCACAAUGGACGAAAGUCUGAUGGAGCAACGCCGCGUGAGUGAAGAAGGUUUUCGGAUCGUAAAACUCUGUUGUUGGAGAAGAAUGUAUCUGAUAGUAACUGAUCAGGUAGUGACGGUAUCCAACCAGAAAGCCACGGCUAACUACGUG